Molecule: ribosomal RNA, 372 nt
Filed under: uncultured organism
Description: partial 16S ribosomal RNA
Rfam family: Bacterial small subunit ribosomal RNA
Source: RNAcentral
GGGGACCCCUAGCGUUGUUCGGAAUUACUGGGCUUAAAGAGCGUGUAGGCGGGACGGUAAGUACGAUGUGAAAGCCCCGGGCUCAACCCGGGAAUGGCAUGGUAUACUGUCGUCCUUGAGGCAGGUAGGGGUUACUGGAACCUUAGGUGGAGCGGUGAAAUGCGUAGAGAUCUAAGGGAACGCCUGUGGCGAAAGCGGGUAACUGGGCCUGUCCUGACGCUGAGACGCGAAAGCGUAGGUAGCGAACGGGAUUAGAUACCCCGGUAGUCUACGCCGUAAACGAUGCGCACUAGGUUCGAGAGAUACUGACAUCCCCUCGUGCCGCAACAAAAGCGAUAAGUGCGCCGCCUGGGGAGUACGGCCGCAAGGCUA